Molecule: ribosomal RNA, 439 nt
Filed under: uncultured bacterium
Lineage: Bacteria
Description: bacterial SSU rRNA
Rfam family: Bacterial small subunit ribosomal RNA
Source: RNAcentral
AAACUUGAUGGCGACCGGCGCGACGGGUGAGUAACGCGUAUCCAACCUUCCCCUUAGUAGGGCAUAGCCGGCGAAAGUCGGAUUAAUACCCUAUGUUAUCCGAAGAGGACAUCUGAAUUGGAUUAAAGAUUGAUCGCUAAGGGAUGGGGAUGCGUCUGAUUAGGUAGUAGGCGGGGUAACGGCCCACCUAGCCUACGAUCAGUAGGGGUUCUGAGAGGAAGGUCCCCCACAUUGGAACUGAGACACGGUCCAAACUCCUACGGGAGGCAGCAGUGAGGAAUAUUGGUCAAUGGGCGUAAGCCUGAACCAGCCAAGUAGCGUGCAGGAUGACGGCCCUAUGGGUUGUAAACUGCUUUUAUGCGGGGAUAAAGUGAGGGACGUGUCCCUUUUUGUAGGUACCGCAUGAAUAAGGACCGGCUAAUUCCGUGCCAGCAGCGGC